RNAcentral lists this ribosomal RNA (415 nucleotides) under uncultured bacterium. Its description in RNAcentral is "bacterial SSU rRNA". It matches the Rfam family "Bacterial small subunit ribosomal RNA", at positions 402 to 809 of the family's 1533-position model. The record is from RNAcentral.
UGCAGGAAGAAGGCCUUCGGGUUGUAAACUGCUUUUGUACGGAACGAAACGGCUCUGGUUAAUACCCGGGGCUAAUGACGGUACCGUAAGAAUAAGCACCGGCUAACUACGUGCCAGCAGCCGCGGUAAUACGUAGGGUGCAAGCGUUAAUCGGAAUUACUGGGCGUAAAGCGUGCGCAGGCGGUUUUGUAAGACAGGCGUGAAAUCCCCGGGCUCAACCUGGGAAUGGCGCUUGUGACUGCAAAGCUGGAGUGCGGCAGAGGGGGAUGGAAUUCCGCGUGUAGCAGUGAAAUGCGUAGAUAUGCGGAGGAACACCGAUGGCGAAGGCAAUCCCCUGGGCCUGCACUGACGCUCAUGCACGAAAGCGUGGGGAGCAAACAGGAUUAGAUACCCUGGUAGUCCACGCCCUAAACGA